RNAcentral lists this transfer RNA (73 nucleotides) under bacterium. Its description in RNAcentral is "tRNA-Met". It matches the Rfam family "tRNA". From Rfam's summary of the family: Transfer RNA (tRNA) molecules are approximately 80 nucleotides in length. Their secondary structure includes four short double-helical elements and three loops (D, anti-codon, and T loops). Further hydrogen bonds mediate the characteristic L-shaped molecular structure. tRNAs have two regions of fundamental functional importance: the anti-codon, which is responsible for specific mRNA codon recognition, and the 3' end, to which the tRNAs corresponding amino acid is attached (by aminoacyl-tRNA synthetases). tRNAs cope with the degeneracy of the genetic code in two manners: having more than one tRNA (with a specific anti-codon) for a particular amino acid; and 'wobble' base-pairing, i.e. permitting non-standard base-pairing at the 3rd anti-codon position. The record is from RNAcentral.
CGCGGGUGUGGAGUACUGGUAGCUCGUCUGGCUCAUAACCAGAAGGUAGCGGGUCCGAUUCCCGCCCCCGCAA